AGUGAACGCUGGCGGUAGGCCUAACACAUGCAAGUCGAACGGCAGCACAGUAAGAGCUUGCUCUUACGGGUGGCGAGUGGCGGACGGGUGAGGAAUACAUCGGAAUCUACUUUUUCGUGGGGGAUAACGUAGGGAAACUUACGCUAAUACCGCAUACGACCUACGGGUGAAAGCAGGGGAUCUUCGGACCUUGCGCGAUUGAAUGAGCCGAUGUCGGAUUAGCUAGUUGGCGGGGUAAAGGCCCACCAAGGCGACGAUACGUAGCUGGUCUGAGAGGAUGGUCAGCAACACGGGAACGGAGACAGGGUCCAGGCUCCUAAGGGAGGCAGCAGUGUGGAAUAGUGGACAAUGGGCGCGAGCCUUGUACAACCAUAGCGAGUGUGUUAAGACGACCUUCGGUUUGUAAAGCCCUUUUUUGGGGAAAAAAACGCAGCAGCUUAAUACCCCGCUUUUGUGACGGUACCCAAAGAAUAAGCACCGGCUAACUUCGUG
Molecule: ribosomal RNA, 492 nt
Filed under: uncultured bacterium
Lineage: Bacteria
Description: partial 16S ribosomal RNA
Rfam family: Bacterial small subunit ribosomal RNA
Source: RNAcentral